ACGAACGCUGGCGGCGUGCCUAAUACAUGCAAGUCGAACGGUCUUUCUAUGGAAGCUUGCUUCCACUGAGAAGAUAGUGGCGAACGGGUGAGUAACACGUGGGUAACCUGCCCAUAAGAGGGGGAGUAACAUCCGGAAACGGGUGCUAAUACCGCAUAGUUUUCUUGAUCGCAUGAUCGGGAAAGGAAAGACGGCCUUUGUGCUGUCGCUUAUGGAUGGACCCGCGGCGUAUUAGUUAGUUGGUGAGGUAACGGCUCACCAAGACGAUGAUACGUAGCCGACCUGAGAGGGUGAUCGGCCACAUUGGGACUGAGACACGGCCCAAACUCCUACGGGAGGCAGCAGUAGGGAAUCUUCCGCAAUGGACGAAAGUCUGACGGAGCAACGCCGCGUGAGUGAAGAAAGGUUUUCGGAUCGUAAAACUCUGUUGUCAGAGAAGAACAAGUUGGAGAGUAACUGCUCCAGCCUUGACGGUAUCUGACCAGAAAGCCACGGCUAACUACGUGCCAGCCGCAGC
This 517-nucleotide ribosomal RNA is filed under the name uncultured bacterium. RNAcentral describes it as "bacterial SSU rRNA". It matches the Rfam family "Bacterial small subunit ribosomal RNA", at positions 29 to 518 of the family's 1533-position model. The record is from RNAcentral.